Molecule: long non-coding RNA, 676 nt
Organism: Eptesicus fuscus (big brown bat)
Lineage: Eukaryota; Metazoa; Chordata; Mammalia; Chiroptera; Vespertilionidae
Exons: 3
Source: RefSeq, a predicted model, not a curated record
ACUAAGGUGCUAUUCACCUUUUUACUGAGGGUUCACCUUAUGCCAAGCACUGUGCUAAGAGCUGGAUGGAGAUCUGAUUGAGCAGCACCUUGGCCUAGAAUGAGCUUCUGAUCUAAAGAAGGAGUCCUAGAUGGCGGAGCCCUGCGCACAAAGCGGACACUUCUCGGCGGCUGGUGCAGACGCGGAGACCAUGCCAUCUUGAGAAACAGAGCUGCCUGAGCCUCGGAUCCUGGCUUCUGACACAAACCAGGACCCUGCAACCACUGGGGACAGAGAACUGCUAUCACAGCUUCAGACCAACAAACAACAAGAAUCCAGACUUCCCGGCAGAUUUCCGCAAGCCCAGGCAAAGGCUCAGUUUGGUGUCUGCUUCCAUUGCUUACAGAACCAUGAACCCCACAACACGUGUGCCAUGUCUCACUCAUCCACUGGAGGGCACUGCACUUGCAGCUCAUGACAAUGACCUUGACCCACUUCCAACUUGGACAAGUUCGCCUUCUUCAGAAGGUGCUUCAUGAACUUCAAAGAUUUCUCUAAGGAAUAUUCAUUUGAUUUUUUUUCUUCAAUUAAAUUUGGAAGCUAAUGUAAAUCCCCUCUAAGUAACAAAAAUAAGAUGAUCCACUGCCUGGCAGCUGUCACUUGUGACACAGACAUGUACAAUCAUGUGUCCCACCGU